CCUACGGGCGGCUGCAGUAGGGAAUAUUGCUCAAUGGGGGAAACCCUGAAGCAGCAACGCCGCGUGGAGGAUGAAGGUUUUCGGAUUGUAAACUCCUUUUGUUAGAGAAGAUAAUGACGGUAUCUAACGAAUAAGCACCGGCUAACUCCGUGCCAGCAGCCGCGGUAAUACGGAGGGGGCAAGCGUUACUCGGAUUCACUGGGCGUAAAGAGCGCGUAGGCGGGAUAGCAAGUCAGCUGUGAAAUCCUAGGGCUUAACCAUAGAACUGCAUUUGAAACUGUUAGUCUAGAGUAUGGGAGAGGGAGGUGGAAUUCUUGGUGUAGGGGUAAAAUCCGUAGAGAUCAAGAGGAAUACUCAUGGCGAAGGCGACCUGCUAGAACAUAACUGACGCUGAGGCGCGAAAGCGUGGGGAGCAAACAGGAUUAGAUACCCCAGUAGUC
RNAcentral lists this ribosomal RNA (440 nucleotides) under uncultured bacterium. RNAcentral's name for it is "partial 16S ribosomal RNA". It matches the Rfam family "Bacterial small subunit ribosomal RNA", at positions 338 to 795 of the family's 1533-position model. The record is from RNAcentral.